Molecule: long non-coding RNA, 8576 nt
Filed under: Homo sapiens (human)
Lineage: Eukaryota; Metazoa; Chordata; Mammalia; Primates; Hominidae
Description: non-protein coding lnc-PRM1-1:5
Source: RNAcentral
AAAAGUAAAUAAACGCCCUCAAGUUAGGAAUGAACGGAGGAAAUGGGUUAAACGAGAAUAAAUAAUUGAAGGCAGAGAGGUAAAGAACUUCCUCUUUCAACGCAUCUCAAAAUUUGGCGUGGAUGCAGAUCACCUACAGAGUAUGAUUAUUCAUCUUUACAUUGCCUUGUUUUGAGGGUCUCACUCUGUUGCCCAGGAUGGAGUGCAGUGGCACAGUGACGGCUCACUACAACGUUCACCUCCCGGGCAUAGGUGAUUCUCCUACCUCAGCCUCCCAAGUAUCUCGGACUACAGGCGUGCACCACCACGUCCAGCUAAUUUUUGUAUUUUUUGUAGAGACAGGGUCUUACCAUGUUGCCCAAGGUGGUCUGGAACUCCUGGGAUCACGCAAUCCUGCCUCCUUGGCCUCCCAAAGUGCUGGGAUUACAGGCGUGAGCCACCAUGCCUGGCCUAUUACUGAUAUACAAAUAGUGUUUUGUAUAUUGUUUUCACUUAAUAAUGAACAUCUUUCUGUAUCAGCAAAUAUCCAUCUGCUUCCUCUUGAAUGACUGCAUAAUACUCGAUUUGUCUUAUCACAUAUUAAACCAAUAUCCUACAGUUGGACAUUAAGGCUAUUUCCAAUUUUUCACUUUAUAAAUAUAUCCACUGUGGACCUACUUAAAAGAUAAAUCUUUUUUAUUUAUUUAUUUAUUUAUUUUUUUGAGACGGAGUCUCACUCUGUCACCCAGGCUGGAGUGCAGUGGCGCCAUCUGGGCUCACUACAAGCUCCGCCUCCCAGGUUCCCGCCAUUCUCCUGCCUCAGCCUCCCGAGUAGCUGAGACUACAGGUGCCUGCCACCACGCCCAGCUAAUUUUUUGUACUUUGUUUUAGUAGAGACGAGGUUUCACCGUGUUAGCCAGGAUGGUCUCGAUCUCCUGACCUCGUGAUCCACCCGUAAAAGCUAAAUCUUUUUGUGCAUCCUUCAAAUAAAAUUCCCAGGAAUCUCUCCCUAAAAAUUGGAUGUCCCCAGUCAGCAAAGUCCACAGAUCCUAAAUCAGGCAAUCCUUAAAGUCAAGGUCAGUUCUUAAGAGAAACUUUGAGUUCCCAGGGCCUCCUGCAGUACCAGGCAUUCAGAGAGUAUUCAGCAAGAGCUUGAUUUUUUUUUUUUUUUUUUUUUGAGACGGAGUCUCGCUGUGUCACCCAGGCAGGAGUGCAGUUGUGCCAUCUCAGCUCACUGCAACCUCCGCCUCCCAGGUUCAAGUGAUUCUCCUGCCUCAGCCUCCUGAGUAGCUGGGACUACAGGUACACGCCACCCGCCUGGCUAAUUUUUGUAUUUUUUAGUAGAGACGGGGUUUCGUCAUACUGGCCAGGCUAGUCUCAAACUCCUGACCUCGUGAUCUGCCCGCUCAGCCUCCCAAAGUGCUGGGAUUACAGGCGUCAGCCACCGCACCCGGCCAAGAGCUUCAUUUUUAUAAAAUUGAGCCAGGUCCUAUUGUAAGAACUUUGUAGGAAGUAUCCCAUGUACCCCCACAGACCCUGAAAAGACUGUUCCACACAGGUGAGGAAACUGAGGCUUAAGGAAGCUAGAGGGCUGGCCCAUAGACUCUCAGUAGCCUCUAUGAGGUUUUGGCCUCUACACCUAAUAUGGUUUGGCUGUGUCCCCACCCAAAUCUCAUGUUGAAUUGUACUUCCCAUAAUCCCCACAUAUCGUGGGAAGGACCCCGUGGUAGGUAAUUGAAUCAUGGGGGCGGAUACUCCCAUGCUGUUCUCGUGAUAGUGAGUGAGUUCUCACAAGAUCUGAUGGUUUUAUAAGGUGCUUUUCCCCCUUUGCUCGGCACUACUUCUUCCUGCUGCCACAUAAAGAAGGACGUUUGCUUCCCUUUCUGCCAUGAUUGUAAGUUUCCUGAGGCCUCCCAGCCCUGCGGAACUGGAGUUAAUUAAACCUCUUUCCUUUAUAAAUUACCCAGUCUUGGACAGUUCUUUAUAGCAGUGUGAGAACAGACUAAUACAACACCUCAACCCUGACCUAUGAAGUAACCAGGCUCCUAGGCUGAGAAAGGAGCAGGAACAUUAACCAAGAGAGAAUCCAACCCGUUCAUGCCUGGUGGGUCCUCACUGACCUUCCCCCGAGGUACCUUAAGGACAGAGAAGUGACGGAGAAGGGAGUUAGCGUGAAGGGAGAAGCCCCCAGGCUUCUUGUAUGAGCCUGGGAAUCCCCCAUCAUUCCCUUGGCCUCCAGAUUCCCUGCACCUGCUCCCACAAGCCCAACACCAUGUUGCUGGCAGAGUGAUCUUUUCAAAACACAAGUCUUAGCAUGUCAGCACCGGGUUUAUAACACCUUGAUGGUGUAAUCCACACAUCUGGCAUGUGAGCAUUCCAGGCAGAGGGAACUGCACAUGGAGGGGCCAGACAGGGGAGACAAAGCAAGAAGCAUGUAGCAAACUGCCAGUAGUUAAGGAUGGCUGGGACACAGAGUAGAAAUGGAGGACUGGGGAUAGAUGAGUCUGGCUCUACAUAACCUCAUGUCUUAUCCCCAUUUUACAGAUGAUGAAACUGAGGUUCAAGCCAAUGACAAGCCUGAAGCCACAUGGCUAGUGAGUGGCAGAGUCAGAACUCAAACCCAAAUCCACCUGACCCCAAACUUCAUGUAUCUUGAACUACAGGCUCCAUCUCACUGUUCACACUCUCACCCACCUCCACCCAUCAAAGGUGCCUCUAGACCUUUGCUUGUGUUGUUUGUUCUCUGCCUGACAUGCCUCCCCCUCAGUCGCUCUCAGUUGAAACCUGGCUUAGUCAUCAAGUGCCUGCUCAGCAGCAAGACCUCUUCUCUUCACAGAGCCUUUGUUGAGCCCCACCACUGGAAUUAACCUCUUCCUUCCAGACCAGUUUGGUGGUGCCCCUAAUCCACAGUUUCCCAACCUCAGCCCUACUGACACUGGGGCUGGAUAAUCUUUGUCGUGGGGGCUGUCGUGUGCACUGCAGGAUAUGGAGCAGUACCCCUGCUUUCCACCCACGAGAUGCCAUGGCACCCUCCUCAAGUUGCAACAACCAAAAUAUGUCUUCAGACAUUGCCACUGUCCCCUAGGGUACUAAAUCACCUCUAUGGAGAACCACUGUCCUAAGCUACAAUACUCACUGCCCUCUGUUUUGAGCCAUAAAUAGUUGUGUCUGUGUCUAUCUUACCAGUAAAGCCUGGGUUCUCAAACUAAGUUGUCAGCAGCAGACAGACAGGUAACCCUGGUGUAGCAGGGGCAAACUGGCCUUCUGAUGUCCCGGCAACAGGGGUCCAUCACACUCAGCCGGUGGUUGUCGUGCAGGACUGUGGGCCCAUUGUUGCUAGAUCUGAUUUUUCAAGACAUUUUCUUUUUUUCGUUUGUUUUUGUUUUGUUUUAGAUGGAGUCUAACUCUGUUGCCCAGGCUGUAGUGCAAUGGCACGAUCUCAACUCACCACAACUUCCACCUCCCAGGUUUAAGUGAUUCUCCUGCCUCAGCCUUACAAGUAGCUGGGAUUACAGGUGCCCGCCACCACGCCCGGCCAAUUUUGUGUAUUUUUAGUAGAGAUGGGGUUUCACCAUGUUGGCCAGGCUAGUCUCGAACUCCCUACCUCAGAUGAUCCACCUGCCUUGGCCUCCCAAAGUGCUGGGAUUACGGGCGUGAGCCACCGCGCCCAGCUCAAGACAUUUUCAUGUAUAAUUUCCAUGUUUAAAAAAAAAAUGCUGGCAAACAAUUCAAUUCUGAAACAAAGGAACAAAAACAAACCAUGUGCCCCAGAAAGUCAUCCAUGGACUGACUCUGGCCCGUGGGCUUCCAAUCUGCAAACUCUCUCUAGAACGUGACCUCUGCUUCAGGCACCAAGGCAGCCUGCAUGUUCACUAACGUGCAGGUCCUUAAAUCUCCUGCAAAAUAGCCAAGGGGCUGUAGUGUUCCACCAGCUCCAAGAGUUGCAAAAUCAGCAUUUUAAAUUACAGUCAUGAGCAGACAAGUGGGGUCUGUUGACACAUGUUGGGUAAGCCUCCCCUCUAGGGAGGAUUAUCCCCCCUCCCCCACACCACAAUCCAUCACCCUCACACUCAGGCCUGAAGCAACCCCCUGUGCCAGCCUCCCCGAGCUCCAGCUUCCCAGUGAGAUCAAAGAUCCUUGGAAGGCGGUUUCCUGCCACCUGCACCAGUGAGGACAAAGGUAAGGUGAGAGGAAUUGUAGGCCUUGGCUUUAUCCUCAAUCUGCUCGUUCACCAGUUCCCAGGCCAAUCAGGCCAAAAAUGCUUCUGGUUUCCAGAAACAACCCUACUACACUAAGAAAAGGGGUUGUUCUGGGUGGGGCGUGGUGGCUCACGCCUGUAAUCCCAGCACUUUAGGAGGCCAAGGUGGGUGGAUCAUCUGAGGCCAGAAGUUCGAGACCAGGCUGGCCAACAUGGUGAAACCCUGUCUCCGGUAAAAAUAUAAAGAUUAGCUGGGCAUGAUGGCACGUGCCUGUAAUUCCAGCUACUUGGGAGGCUGAGGCAGGAGAAUCACUUGAACCCAAGAGGCAGAGGUUGCAGUGAGCUGAGAUCAUGCCACUGCACUCCAGCCUGGGCGACAAGAAUGAAACUCGGUCUUGAAGGAAAAAAUAAAAUAAAAUAAAAUAAAAUGGGUUGUUCUGGAAGGGUAUCCAUACAGUGACAUCUUCAAAAUAGCAAAAGCUGUUAUUAGCUGAGCCCUUACUAUGUGCCAAGCACCAUGCCAGUCACUUCAUGUGCAGAGACUCAGUUAUUCCUCAUGACAACCCUAAGAAGUAGAUACUUUUCUUAAGCCCAAUUUAGAGAUGAGGACAUUGAGGCUUGGACAGGUGAUGUGACCUACCCCAGACCACACAGCUAGGAGAAGGUAGAGCCAGGAACCCAUCCCCACCCUGGGAACCCUUAUAAAGGGUUCCUCUUAGGUGUCUCAGUAAUCAGGAUGGUGGUUCUUAACAUAACGUCUUACCCACUAUCCUGGAUUGGCACCGUGGAAGAAUACUCUGGGGAAUUUUUUUUUUGGAAAUACAGGUUUUAUGAAAACACACACAUACACGCACACAAAUUUUGAACUGUAUUUAAUGAAAUGCCUGCCAAAGUAUGCAAAGGGGCAGUGGAUGGAUGUCUCUUACUUACUUUGGAUGCAACUUACUUUGAAAUGCAACAAGAAAUAAGGUGGAUGGCUGGGCGUGGUGGCUCACGCCUGUAAUCCCAGCACUUUGGGAGGCCAAGGCAGGUGGAUCACAAGGUCAGGAGAUUGAGACCAUCCUGGCUAACACGGUGAAACCCUGUCUCUACUAAAAAAUACAAAAAAUUAGCCAGGCGUGGUGACGAGCACCUGUAGUCCCAGCUACUCUGGAGGCUGAGGCAGGAGAAUGGCGUGAACCCGGAAGGCGGAGCUUGCAGUGAGCUGAGACGGCGCCACUGCACUCCAGCCUGGGCGACAGAGUGAGACUCCAUCUCAAAAAAAAAAAAAAAGAUAAGAAAUAAGGUGGAUGGAUGGGUGGAUAGAGGGAAGGACAGGUGGCUAGAGCUGAGAUAAGGCAACUAGAGUCAACUGUUCAUUGUGGAAUCCGCAUGGUGGGUGAUUGAUGUUCACUGCACAGUUCUUUCAAGAACACAACAUCUGGGGACAACUGUAGGUUCCAGGGCUGCAGCACAGCCUUCCUGCAUUGGAAUGUCUGGGGGUGGGACCCUAGAAUGAUUCUGGGGCCCAGCCCUCCCCUACUCAGUGACAAGCAAACUUCUGCUCUCUCACUCACAGAGUAUCACCAGGUCAUGUGAAAGUCGAUGCAUCUUGGCCUCUGGUGCCCCUUUUUCUCCACUUCACGCAGGCCCAGGGCUGGGCUCAAGGGAGCAUGGGUAGAAUAGGGUAAAGUCACACCUCAGUGCCUGAUGACUGACACUCUCUAGCCCUCUGCACCAGUAGUGAUUUCUGCUGUCCACGGCACACUGCCAUGGCGUGAACAGAAUGUUUGUGCCCUCUCCUCCCAAAUUCAUAUGUUCCACUGUAUGUGGUUAACUAUAAUUUAUUGUAUAGUCUCAAAAAACUAGAAUACUCUGGAUGUGGUGGUUUACGCCUGUAAUCCCAGCACUUUGGGAGGCCGAGGUGGGCAGGUUGCUUGACCUCAGGAGUUUGAGACCAGCCUGGCCAACGUGGUGAAACCCCAUCUCUACUAAAAAUACAAAAAUUAGCUGGGCGUGGUUGUGGGUGCCUGUAAUCCCAGCUACUCAGGAGGCUGGGGCAGGGGAAUCACUUGAAUUUGGGAGGCGGAGACUGCAGCAAGCCAAGAAUGUGCCACUGCACUCCAGCCUGGGCGACGAGAGGAAGACUCUGUCUCAAAAAAAAAAGGGAAAAAAUGUAAAAAGAAAAUUUAAAAAAGGAAAGAAAAAGAAACUUAAUUCCCAACGUGAAAGUGUUAGGAGGUAGGUCUUUUGGGAGGUGGUUAGGUCUCAUGAAUAAGGAUGGAGCCCUCAUGAAUGGGAUUAGUGUCCUUUUAAGAAGGGUCCCCAGAGAGCUCUUUUGCCCCUUCCACCUUGUGAAGACACAGUAAGCUAGAAUAUGAGUCCUCACCAGACACUGAAUCUCCCAGUGCCUUGAUCUUGGACUUCCCACCUCCAGAACUAUGAGCAGCCUGGGCACAGUGGCUCACACCUGUAAUCCCAGCACUUUGGGAGGCUGAGGUGGGAGCAUCACAUGAGCCCAGGAGGUGGAGGCUGCAGUGAGCCGUGACUGCACCACUGCACUCCAGCCUAGGCAACAGAGCAAGACCCCAUCUGAAAAAGAAAUUAUGAGCAAUACAUUUCUGUUGUAGGUUUCCUAGUCUAUGGUAUUUUGUUUUAAAGCCUAAACUGACUGAUACACAUUUCCAGCUCUCUUGAGGAGUCUUUAAGCACAAUCUACAUCUUGGAUAUGAUAAUAACAGUAAUGCUUCCACUACAACUACAGGCCAAGCAUGCUGCUAGCUGCUAUGAUGUAUUCCAGCUCAUUUCAUCCACAAACCCCUACCAGAGACCUACUUCUGCCCUCCCUCCCGUUAUGGGAGAAAAAAAACUGAGGCUCAAAAAGGCACUAAGCCUACAAUAAUGAAAUCUGUGUGGUACUGACAUGAGAACAGACAUAUAUAGAUCCAGAGGACAGAAUGAGUGUCCAAAAAUAAACCCAUACAUCUAUUCCUUUUCUUUUUUUCCAAGACAAAGUCUUGUUCUGUCACCCAGGCUGGAGUGCAGUGGCGUGACCUCGGCUCACUGCAACCUCCGCCUCCCAGGUUCAAGUGAUUUUCCCGCCUCAGCUUCCUGAUUAGCUGGGACUACAGGCACGCACCACCACGCCCAGCUAAUCUUUGGUUUUUUGUUUUGUUUUGUUUUGUUUUUUUGAGAUGGAGUUUCACUCUUGUUGCCCAGGCUGGAGUGCAAUGGCGCGAUCUCGGCUCACUGCAAACUCCGCCUCCCAGGUUCAAGCGAUUCUCCUGCCUCAGCCUCCCUAGUAGCUGGGAUUACAGGCAUGUGCCACCACGCCUGGCUAAUUUUGUAUUUUUGGUAGAGACGGGGUUUCUCCAUGUUGGUCAGGCUGGUCUCGAACUCCCGACCUCAGGUGAUCCGCCCACCUCGGCCUCCCAAAGUGCUGGGAGUACAGGCGUGAGCCACCACGCCCAGCCAUCUUUGUACUUUUAGUAGAGUUGGGGUUUCACUGUGUUGGCUAGGCUGGUCUCGAACUUUGGACCUCAGGUGAUCUGCCCACCUUGGCCUCCCAAAGUGCUGGGAUUACAGGCAUGAGCCAUUGCACCCGGCCCCCAGUGGCUUUUCAACAAGGGCCAACAAGGUCAUUCCAUGGGAAAAUAAUCAUUUAAUAAAUAAUGCUAGAACAAUAAGAAAAAGAAGAAAGUUCAACCUCUCUGUCUAUGUAUAGAAUGGACCAAAGGCCGAAAUAUAAGAGCUAAAACUGUAAAACUCGUAAAAGAAAACAGAAGGGUAAAUGUUCACAACCUUGGGUUUGGUGAUGGAUCUUUAGAGAUGACAGCAAAAGCACAAGCAAUAAAAGAAAAAAAUAAAUUGGACUUUAUAAAAAGUAAAAACUUUUGUGCAUCAAAGGACAUUAUCCAAAAAGUGAAGACAAUUCACAGAAUGGGAAAAAAUAUUUGCUAGUCAUAUAUCUGAUGAGGGUCUAGUAUCUAGAAUAUAUAAAGAACACUUGCAACUCAACAACAACAAAAAAACCCAAUUUAAAAAUGAGCAGCCCUCUCCCUCUCCCUCUCCCUCUGCCCCUCCCCUCUUCCCUCUUUCCACGGUCUCCCUCUGAUGCCGAGCCGAAGCUGGACUGUACUGCUGCCAUCUCUGCUCACUGCAACCUCCCUGCCUGAUUCUCCUGCCUCAGCCUGCUGAGUGCCUGCGAUUGCAGCCUCACGCCGCCACGCCUGACUGGUUUUCGUAUUUUUUGGGUGGAGACGGGUUUUCGCCGUGUUGGCCGGGCUGGUCUCCAGCUCCUAACCGCGAGUGAUCCGCCAGCCUCGGCCUCCCGAGGUGCCGGGAUUGCAGACGGAGUCUCCUCCACUCAGUGCUCAAUGGUGCCCAGGCUGGAGUGCAGUGGCGUGAUCUCGGCUCGCUA